RNAcentral lists this transfer RNA (73 nucleotides) under Bos grunniens (domestic yak). RNAcentral also lists the same sequence under 1 other name. The record is from Rfam by way of RNAcentral. Lineage: Eukaryota; Metazoa; Chordata; Mammalia; Artiodactyla; Bovidae.
UCCCUGAUGGUCCUCUGGCUAAGACUCUGUGCUCCCAAUGCAGAGGGUCCAUGUUCAAUCCCUGGUCAAGGAA